RNAcentral lists this ribosomal RNA (477 nucleotides) under uncultured bacterium. Its description in RNAcentral is "bacterial SSU rRNA". It matches the Rfam family "Bacterial small subunit ribosomal RNA", at positions 55 to 527 of the family's 1533-position model. The record is from RNAcentral.
AUGCAGUCGAGGGGUACAGAGAGAAGCUUGCUUCUUUGCUGACGACCGGCGCACGGGUGCGUAACGCGUAUACAAUCUACCUUUUGCUGAGGGAUAGCCCAGAGAAAUUUGGAUUAAUACCUCAUAGUAUAUAUGAAUCACAUGGUUUAUAUAUUAAAGGUUACGGCAGAAGAUGAGUAUGCGUUCUAUUAGCUAGAUGGUGUGGUAACGGCACACCAUGGCAACGAUAGAUAGGGGCCCUGAGAGGGGGAUCCCCCACACUGGUACUGAGACACGGACCAGACUCCUACGGGAGGCAGCAGUGAGGAAUAUUGGACAAUGGGCGAGAGCCUGAUCCAGCCAUGCCGCGUGCAGGAAGACUGCCCUAUGGGUUGUAAACUGCUUUUAUACAGGAAGAAACACUCCCUCGUGAGGGAGCUUGACGGUACUGUAAGAAUAAGGAUCGGCUAACUCCGUGCCAGCAGCCGCGGUAAUACG